CAUCAUCAUCUUCUUCUUUGUUUCUCUCAUGCCCUAAUCACUCUUCAACCACAUCGAUGCUUUAACAUGUAGAUUUUUACGCUUUCGAAGAAUAUCUGAAUAUUCUUCAAAAAAAUUGCAUUAUUUCUUUCUUUCGCUCAUAUUGGAAGGAGAGAUAGAAUAUGGGUUCUAUGAACGAUGAUGCACGGCUUAUGGAAGAGGGUCUUCUUCAGCUCCGCAAAUUGUAACGAUUAGGAUUUUGGAUGGAGGAGCUGUUCGUUUAUCUCAAAGACAGAGCUUGGUAAAUUCCCUCAACACUAAACCUCAACGCAAUGAUUCUCUUGUUCCUCUCGCAGCAACUAUUGUUGCUUCUGGUGGAGGUUGCUUCUCUGCUCAAAUGCCCAUAAUCCGCAAUAUCCUGGUUUACAGUCAGAGUAUCUAGAGCUAUGGAACUUUGGUUAUACAAACCUUCUUAUUUUAAUGGUUUUUCUUUUUGUUAUUCAAGCCUCUUCGGCCUCCUAUAUUUGUGUCUUAUAUUUAUUUUGUUAAUGCUUCAGUAUGUGAUGAUUUUGUCGAAUAGGGGAGUGCCUAUUGCAUUUGGUGGCACUGAAGAGCCAAUUGAUAUGGAGGAAAAGAAAAAGAACCAAUAACUUUCAUUUGGUUAUUGUCACGAAAUAAGUCUAGUGAACUUUAUUUUAAUACAUUAAGCUGUGCAUGCGAGGCAUCCUUAUUCUUUGAUAACAAAUUAGAGAUAUCUCAUAUUUAAUGCCAUUUGUUUAAUACAGGUACUAGAGAUUCAUCCCACUAUUAAAUGGACAAAGGGAAGGCCCUGGAAUUUUUGUUAGAGUCAAUCGAUGAGUUUUAAUCUAAUACAUUCGAUUUUGGUUCUUGGUUUUAUUUGUAACAGAUAAACAUGCAAUAUAUGUUGGGAAAACUCGGUUCCCUCAAGCUCGGCUAAGGGGCCUUUGUGCGGAAGUCAAUCAACAAGAUCCUGAUCUCGGAUCUCGGCAAUACCUCAGCCUGAACUUCACCAGGUCAGGCAGCGCAGCGGAAAAAUCAAAACGUAAACACAGGAGGGAGAGAAGAAGAACACAACCAGAUUUAACGUGGGAAAACCUUCUUCAAUGAAGAAGUAAAAACCCACGGGACCUAGUCCAGAUCAAAAAUCCACUAUGAAAAUAAUGGUUACAACGAAUCAAAUACACCAAUGUGGUGGUUAACUCAACCUCUCCAACAAUGGUGAUAAUCAAACUACUCUAGAGAUGUUUAACUCAAACUCUCUCUAGAGAUUUCUCAAAUGCAAAGCAUAAAACCUUGCUCAAACAAUCAAAUAAUUCUCUCAAAUUUGUUCUCUCAAAUCUGACCUAGCCUCCACCCACAACUAAUGAGUAUAUAUAGAGGAGGUGGAAAUUAGGGUUAGGGUUUUUAGGAAACCCCUCAAAUGGGAUUGGGCUUGCAUUGAAGGAGGCCCAACGAUAUAUAUAUAUAUAUAUAUAUCCUACAGUUUUUUACUGAACUUUUAAGGUGAUCCAUUAUGAUGAACAAAUUGUAUAGGACACUAAAGUAAUAACACAUUAGAUUUUAUGUUGCUGAUUAUUUUUAUUUCUUGUCUGUGUGUGGAUAUGGUGGAUGGGGACCUCAGCAACAACUUCAAGCACUCAUGAAAACGCUUAACAAAAUAGAGCCUCAUUACAUUCGAUGUAUCAAGCCAAACUCUUUGAAUCAACCCCAACAGUUUGAGAAUACCAGCGUCAUACACCAGUUACGCUUGGGGAUUUGCCAACUAUAAUGAUGUCUUUCCUGUUUAUAUUGGUGAUGAUAGAACCGAUGAAGAUGCAUUCAAGGAAAUAAGAGACAAGGGACAAAGGUUUUGGUAUUCUUGUCUCGAAAUUUUCGAAGCAAACAACUACAUGAACCCAAUGAGGC
Molecule: long non-coding RNA, 1905 nt
Organism: Gastrolobium bilobum
Lineage: Eukaryota; Viridiplantae; Streptophyta; Magnoliopsida; Fabales; Fabaceae
Exons: 5
Source: RefSeq, a predicted model, not a curated record